Molecule: unclassified non-coding RNA, 207 nt
Filed under: soil metagenome
Description: partial contains 5.8S ribosomal RNA, internal transcribed spacer 2, and large subunit ribosomal RNA
Source: RNAcentral
AACCUUAUGGACCUGCGGGCGUAUACCUGCGGAGGGAUCAUUACAGAGAUUGAUGCACCAAGUGCAUCACCUCCAACCCCUUGCGAAAACAACUAUCAUGUGUUGCUUUGGCAGUGUUUCCACUGCCAGAGGUUUACAUAAAAUCAGCUGUUUGGAUGUUGUCUGAGUAAACUAUAUGAAUUAUUUAAAACUUUCAACAAUGGAUCU